AUUGAACGCUGGCGGCAUGCUUUAUACAUGCAAGUCGUGCGGCAGCGCGGGGGCAACUCUGGCGGCGAGCGGCGAACGGGUGAGUAAUACAUAGGAACGUAUCCUGAAAUGGGGGAUAGCUCGGCGAAAGCCGGAUUAAUACCGCAUACGCUCCACGGAGGAAAGCAGGGGAUCGCAAGACCUUGCGUUUCNGGAGCGGCCUAUGUCUGAUUAGCUAGUGGCGGGUAAUAGCCCACCAAGGCGACGAUCAGUAGCUGGUCUGAGAGGAUGAUCAGCCACACUGGGACUGAGACACGGGCCCAGACUCCUACGGGAGGCAGCAGUAGGGAAUUUUGGACAAUGGGGGCAACCCUGAUCCAGCCAUGCCGCGUGAGUGAAGAAGGCCU
Molecule: ribosomal RNA, 386 nt
Filed under: uncultured bacterium
Lineage: Bacteria
Description: bacterial SSU rRNA
Rfam family: Bacterial small subunit ribosomal RNA
Source: RNAcentral